UUCACCAAAACAACUCUUUUUUCUUUCUGUGGAUCACACACUGAGCGUAUUUGGUAUUUGGAUAUUAUACGUAUCAAUGACCUGGUCAACCCUCUUAAUUAA
RNAcentral lists this ribosomal RNA (102 nucleotides) under Triticum aestivum (bread wheat). RNAcentral describes it as "partial small subunit ribosomal RNA". The record is from RNAcentral. Lineage: Eukaryota; Viridiplantae; Streptophyta; Magnoliopsida; Poales; Poaceae.